RNAcentral lists this ribosomal RNA (309 nucleotides) under Alcanivorax sp. Its description in RNAcentral is "bacterial SSU rRNA". It matches the Rfam family "Bacterial small subunit ribosomal RNA", at positions 1 to 308 of the family's 1533-position model. Lineage: Bacteria; Pseudomonadati; Pseudomonadota; Gammaproteobacteria; Oceanospirillales; Alcanivoracaceae. The record is from RNAcentral.
UAACUGAAGAGUUUGAUCAUGGCUCAGAUUGAACGCUGGCGGCAGGCCUAACACAUGCAAGUCGAGCGGAAACGAUGGUAGCUUGCUACCAGGCGUCGAGCGGCGGACGGGUGAGUAACGCGUGAGAAUCUGCCCAUUUGUGGGGGAUAACUCGGGGAAACUCGAGCUAAUACCGCAUAAUCCCUACGGGGGAAAGCAGGGGACCUUCGGGCCUUGUGCAGAUGGAUGAGCUCGCGUCGGAUUAGCUUGUUGGUGAGGUAAAGGCUCACCAAGGCGACGAUCCGUAGCUGGUCUGAGAGGAUGAUCAGC